Molecule: ribosomal RNA, 301 nt
Filed under: uncultured bacterium
Lineage: Bacteria
Description: partial 16S ribosomal RNA
Rfam family: Bacterial small subunit ribosomal RNA
Source: RNAcentral
CAGUAGCCGCGGGAAUACGGAGGGGGCUAGCGUUGUUCGGAAUUACUGGGCGUAAAGCGCACGUAGGCGGCUUGGUAAGUUAGAGGUGAAAGCCUGGAGCUCAACUCCAGAAUUGCCUUUAAGACUGCCGAGCUAGCAGGUGAGAGAGGUAAGUGGAAUUCCGAGUGUAGAGGUGAAAUUCGUAGAUAUUCGGAAGAACACCAGUGGCGAAGGCGGCUUACUGGCUCAUACUGGACGCUGAGGUGCGAAAGCGUGGGGAGCAAACAGGAUUAGAUCCCCGUAGUCCCUGUCUCUUAUACAC